GACGAACGCUGGCGGCGUGCUUAACACAUGCAAGUCGAACGAUGAAGCCUAGCUUGCUAGGUGGAUUAGUGGCGAACGGGUGAGUAAUACGUGAGUGACCUACCUUUGACUCUGGGAUAAGCCUGGGAAACUGGGUCUAAUACCGGAUACGACCAAUCUCUGCAUGGGGUGUUGGUGGAAAGCGUUAUGGAGUGGUUUUAGAUGGGCUCACGGCCUAUCAGCUUGUUGGUGAGGUAAUGGCUUACCAAGGCGACGACGGGUAGCCGGCCUGAGAGGGUGACCGGCCACACUGGGACUGAGACACGGCCCAGACUCCUACGGGAGGCAGCAGUGGGGAAUAUUGCACAAUGGGCGCAAGCCUGAUGCAGCGACGCCGCGUGAGGGAUGACGGCCUUCGGGUUGUAAACCUCUGUUAGCAUCGAAGAAAGCGAAAAGUGACGG
RNAcentral lists this ribosomal RNA (441 nucleotides) under Rothia dentocariosa. RNAcentral's name for it is "bacterial SSU rRNA". It matches the Rfam family "Bacterial small subunit ribosomal RNA", at positions 28 to 475 of the family's 1533-position model. The record is from RNAcentral. Lineage: Bacteria; Bacillati; Actinomycetota; Actinomycetes; Micrococcales; Micrococcaceae.